Molecule: long non-coding RNA, 383 nt
Organism: Xiphophorus maculatus (southern platyfish)
Lineage: Eukaryota; Metazoa; Chordata; Actinopteri; Cyprinodontiformes; Poeciliidae
Exons: 2
Source: RefSeq, a predicted model, not a curated record
GGCGGGUGGAAGGGGUCUGAGACAAAAACGAGGGAAGACCCGAGAAAUCGGUCCCCGCCGACACGUAGUAAGUGCAACUGGGUGACAGAAAUGUGAGCUGACGGGAGAUCGCGACGACAGAGAAAGAAAGCAUGUGGAGGCCACGCAGGCGGAGACCACACAGAGGGGGGCAAAAAGAACCGACCAACUCCACGGUCAACGGGAACGGCUCGCUGCAGGGAACUCGGGAAGAGCGGAGGGGCCUCUGGACAAACUGGACGCUUACUGGGUUUUGCACGAGGAAAUAUAAAAGAGUAUUGUCUAAGCCCGCUGUUUGCUGUUGAAACUUUAAGUGUAUUUUCAUAAAAAAAAAAUGGAAGAUGGAAUUAAACAAAGAGACUCGA